UUGAUGUAUGAUGACAAGAUGAUCUUGAGUGGAGAAUUCAUCAGUAUGCAAUAAGUAUGCUAGCUUUAUGGAAUUUAUAUACUACUUUUGCAUUGGCACUUUACUAACUUUUCUGUCGCAAUUAUCUGUCACAUAGAAUUCAAAGUUCCACCAGUUUGUAUCAAAAAUGAGUCGUGGCGAAAUUACUAUUGAGGAUAAUCAAAUAAAGCAAGGCACAUUCUCGGCACCUGGAGAUUGGGCAGCAGAAUAUCAGCAACAGUAUAAUGGAGGUCAAACAUGGGCUGACCAGUUUGUGAAUGAGCAGGCAAGUACAGUCUUGAUUAAUGGCACGAGACCUAGUGCUUAUCUGUUGUAUUAUAUAGCGCUUAUUUGGUAUGAAUUUUAACCUCAUUAUAAUUUAAAAGUCAAAGUCAAACUUUAAUUUUAACAUGGAGGACCCACAACUACAACCCACUUAUCCACCACUUAUUUCUAUCAACUUAGAAUUUCGGGCAACUUAAAAUUUCUCCCAAGCAAGCGUAUACUCUCCUAUGUUCUGGAUUUGCAGGAUUCUCUAUCAAAUGAAAGUCUUUUCUAGCUAGCUUACUGUCAUUGUAAUCAAACUUAUUUUGAGCUGUGGAAGUCAUAUCUCUUUAGUGAGUUGGUAAAAUGAUUUUCUGUUGGUUUUAUUGCUUUAGACCUGAUGUUUGUUCUAGAGUUUAUGCCUGGUGAUUGAAGAAGUUAUGCUCGAUGCAAAUUUACAUGUCACCUAUUCACCAAACACUAUUUUGUUUUCAGCAUUCCCAUGGACCUCAUGGAUGGGCAAAUGAGUUUGCCGCUGAACGCGAGCUACAUGGACCAGUAGAUGUUGAUUGGGUCAACAUCCAUCUAGUGUAUAUGUGAAAGAAUAAUAUGAGAAGGUUUUCAUAUUAGGAAAUUGGACAUAAUCUUGGAACAUUACUUAUAUUUGUUAAUAUGUUAAACUGUUCUAAAACGCCCAGUCUGGUAGUACAAUUUAAAGGAUUACUCUUGACCUGAUUUUGGUUUUUGGUGGGUAGUUAUUGAUUUUCUGUCAUGGAAUUGAAUUGGUUUGAUAACCAACUUUCUGUUUACCAGAGAUGAUUAACUUGUUGAAUAAUAAUUAUUAAAUACCACCUGUAUUUUGAAUUUAUAACUAAUUAGCGCUUUAUAUGGUGGAUUACGAGGAUCACAAUCCUAGGGAUGCCGUAAAAAAUUGUUAUGUUCUUUUCAAUCAAUCAAGAUGGAAAACUAAAAAUACUAUUGUUUUGCUUGGUUUACUAAAGUUUACCAGUUCAUAAGAAGAAAUAAUUGAGCAUCUAAUAGCUUUUUCAGCAUAUUCUUUUGCUUCUGGUCAUUACAAUUUGAACGAAAAUCCUCCUCGUUGAACGAACAAAAGGGGAGACGAUGGAAAAAUUAAAGAACAUGUGCACAUGCACACACUGGUCAUUUAGUUGCUGUAAGCGCCUUCCUUUGAAAUGAACUGCCGUAUCACAUUGUCUUAUCACAUGACAUAUCAUCUACUGUUGCUGAAUUAUGUCCAAUUAAAUACUUGCACACUGGAAACUGCCACCUUUAUAUGGUGGAAUACGAGUAUCUCAAUCCUAUUGAUCCCAUAAAGAAUUGUGUUCUUUUUCAAUCAAUCAAGAUGGAAAACUAAAAAUAUUAUUGUUUUGCUUGGUUCAGUAAAGUUUACCAGUUUGUAAGUAGAAAUGAUUGAGCAUCUAAUAGCUUUUUCAGCAUAUUCUUUUGCUUCUGGUCAUUACAAUUUGAACGAAAAUCCUCCUCGUUGAACGAACAAAAGGGGAGACGAUGGAAAAAUUAAAGAACAUGUGCACAUGCACACACUGGUCAUUUAGUUGCUGUAAGCGCCUUCCUUUUGGAAUGAACUGCUUGUCACGCUGUCUUAUUAUUUGACAUAUCAUCUACUGUUGCUGAAUUAUGUCCAAUCAAAUAUUUGCACACUGGAAACUGCCACUCCUUUUCCUUACUCUGUACUUUGACAUUACAAUUUUCCUCCAACUAUCACAGGAGCAAUCCCAACUUGCAUUGAUAGAUCAAAUGAGGCGUGCAAAUAUUUCUAGCUUAGCUGCCAUGGAGCACACACGUAAGCUAGCACACACGCUCACUCAAAACAAUGACCCAAAAUUCCAGGUAAUGGCCCAUCUUAAGAUUUUGGUUUUUUUCUCAUCAUUCUUGAUGUAUGAUGACAAGAUGAUCUUGAGUGGAGAAUUCAUCAGUAUGCAAUAAGUAUGCUAGCUUUAUGGAAUUUAUAUACUACUUUUGCAUUGGCACUUUACUAACUUUUCUGUCGCAAUUAUCUGUCACAUAGAAUUCAAAGUUCCACCAGUUUGUAUCAAAAAUGAGUCGUGGCGAAAUUACUAUUGAGGAUAAUCAAAUAAAGCAAGGCACAUUCUCGGCACCUGGAGAUUGGGCAGCAGAAUAUCAGCAACAGUAUAAUGGAGGUCAAACAUGGG
Molecule: long non-coding RNA, 2474 nt
Filed under: Olea europaea (common olive)
Lineage: Eukaryota; Viridiplantae; Streptophyta; Magnoliopsida; Lamiales; Oleaceae
Description: long non-coding RNA (OEUR_LNC009899)
Source: RNAcentral